UCACCUAAAAACCCAAUGUUUGCAUCAAAAACACAAAUUUCAAAUAAACCCACAUAAAAAUGAACUUAACUUUCCAAUACAUCCACAAAAAUUUAACCAAUAAUAUAGCAAAUAAUUGAGAAGUAACUCACAUACUACACACUUAACUUCCCCAUAAACCAACAAAAGUUACCAAAGAACUCAAAUUUACAUGUUCCAGACUUCUUAGGCAAAACUAAUUCCACAUAAUAAAAACUUGAUUUUCUGCACAAACCCACAAAAAUUAUCAAAGAAAACUAGCAAAAUAACUACCAGGAGGCUAUUCACAUACCCCCAAAUCAAUUUUCCAGCAAACAAUAUACAAACAAAAAAACCCAAAAAAACUAGGAAGUAAGUAAUUCUCAUACAGAUUCUGGAGAAUACUUCCGGAAUGGAAUGCAAACUCCACGUUCAAUAUCAAGUUGCUCCAAAGCGCUAGUCCUAGAAAUGUCCUUCACUAGCAAAGCAGUUUUCUCCGACGGAGUCUGUACAGUAGAAACACUACUUACUGCACAAAUCUUAGUCGAUAAAGAUCGAUUUUUUUUAACUGUAUUCAACAGUUUCCUUCUGUUUUUGUACUCAAUUGAUAAUGAGGUUAUUGAUGAAUACAAGCAACUAGUACAAACUCCCUCCAUUUUUUCCCUUUAUUUUCUCAAAUCAAGAAGAUGAAAUAGUGAAAUUGAAGAGUGGAUUUGGGAUUUUUACAUAUAAAUUAUGGAUUAAGAAGAAAUUUUGAUUGAAAAGUGUAUGUGGUUGUCUAUAUGACCACAAAUUUGUGUGUAUAUAUUUGAUGAUGAUCAGAAUUUAGAAAUAUGGAAACUCUGAAGUAACAAACUGAGCUGUCUUAUGAGUUGUACAGUAUGCUUCAAGUGUUUUUU
This 896-nucleotide long non-coding RNA is filed under the name Solanum tuberosum (potato). RNAcentral describes it as "long non-coding RNA (STUB_LNC008411)". Lineage: Eukaryota; Viridiplantae; Streptophyta; Magnoliopsida; Solanales; Solanaceae. The record is from RNAcentral.